This 440-nucleotide ribosomal RNA is filed under the name uncultured bacterium. RNAcentral's name for it is "bacterial SSU rRNA". It matches the Rfam family "Bacterial small subunit ribosomal RNA", at positions 63 to 482 of the family's 1533-position model. The record is from RNAcentral.
CGAACGUGAAGGGGCUUCGGCCCUGAGUAAAGUGGCGCACGGGUGAGUAACACGUGGAUAAUCUACCCGAUGGACCGGGAUAACACUUCGAAAGGGGUGCUAAUACCGGAUAAGCCCACAGGCUCUUUGGAGCCUGCGGGAAAAGGUGGGGACCUUCGGGCCUACCGUCAUCGGAUGAGUCCGCGGCCCAUUAACUAGUUGGUGGGGUAAUGGCCUACCAAGGCAACGAUGGGUAGCUGGUCUGAAAGGAUGAUCAGCCACACUGGAACUGAAACACGGGCCAGACUCCUACGGGAAGCAGCAGUGGGGAAUUUUGCGCAAUGGGCGAAAGCCUGACGCAACAACGCCGCGUGAGUGAUGAAAGCCCUCGGGUCGUAAAGCUCUGUCCUAGGGGAAGAAACUUUUGGGGGAGAAUAUCCCUUGAAACUGACGGUACCCUC